UACGAAGGGGGCUAGCGUUGUUCGGAAUUACUGGGCGUAAAGCGCACGUAGGCGGAUUAGCAAGUCAGGGGUGAAAUCCCGGGGCUCAACCUCGGAACUGCCUUUGAUACUGCUAGUCUAGAGUCCGGAAGAGGUGGGUGGAAUUCCUAGUGUAGAGGUGAAAUUCGCAGAUAUUAGGAAGAACACCAGUGGCGAAGGCGGCCCACUGGUCCGGAACUGACGCUGAGGUGCGAAAGCGUGGGGAG
This 245-nucleotide ribosomal RNA is filed under the name uncultured bacterium. RNAcentral's name for it is "partial 16S ribosomal RNA". It matches the Rfam family "Bacterial small subunit ribosomal RNA", at positions 524 to 768 of the family's 1533-position model. The record is from RNAcentral.